This is a small nuclear RNA of Vombatus ursinus (common wombat), 152 nucleotides long. Its record names the gene U1. It matches the Rfam family "U1 spliceosomal RNA". From Rfam's summary of the family: U1 is a small nuclear RNA (snRNA) component of the spliceosome (involved in pre-mRNA splicing). Lineage: Eukaryota; Metazoa; Chordata; Mammalia; Diprotodontia; Vombatidae. The record is from Ensembl.
AUUCUUCUUUUAGGGGUGAUUCCAUGAUCACGAAGAUGGUUUCCCCAGGGUGAGACUUAUCCAUUGCACACUGCCCCUGUGAUUUCCCGAAAUGUGGGAAACUUGACUGCAUAAUUUGUAGUAGAGUGGGACCCUAUUUGUGCUCUCCCCUG